AUGGAAGCAGUUGGAGUCUCUCAGUAUGAUCUCCCUGCCGUACACCUCGGCGACCAUCUUGAUCGCGGCGUGGCAGUCGCCGCACACCCGGAGGUUCUUGUACACGCGGAUGGGCGCGGCGGCUGGCACGGCGAGGAGGCCGAACGCGACGGCGAGCCUCUCGCCGUGGUGAGCCAGCCCCAUCUCCCUCCCCUCCGGCGCCUCGUCCUGCAGCGCCCACUCGGUGUCCGGCACGUGCCCCCGAGCCCGGAUCCUCGCCGCCAUCUCCUCCGCCUUCCGGUAGAUCUCCGCCGCCCGCUGGUGAUCCCUGUCCCCGGCGUGGAACACGUGCGUCACGCCGGCGACCACCACCCAGCUGCACCCGGGCUCCUUGCUGAUGCCCCGCGACCUCAUCAGCGCGCGCACCCUCGCCACGUCGCCCCACCGCCGCGCCCGCGAGUAGAGGUUGGACAGCAUGACGUACGGCACGGCGUCCGUCGGAUCCAGCCUCCACACCAUCCCGGCCGCGCGCUCGGCGAGCGCCGCGUUCCGGUGAGUCCGGCACGCGGCGAGGAGGGCCUUCCAGACCGUGGCGUCCAGCUCGGCCGCCGGGCUCCGGUCGAGCAGGUCGACGGCCUCGCCGAGGCGGCCGGCGCGGCCGAGCAGGUCGACCAUGCAGGCGUAGUGGUCCGGCCCCGGGGAGAUGCCGUGCUCGGAUUGCAUGGACUGGAAGUGGGCGCGGCCGGCGUCGAGCAGCCCGGCGUGGCUGCAGGCGAAGAGCAGGCCGACGAAGGUGACGUAGUCCGGCCUGCAGCCGGAGCGGGCCAUGUCGGCGUAGACGGCGAGGGACUCCCUGCCCCGGCCGUUCUGCGCGUACCCGACGAUCAGCGCCGUCCACGUGAUGGCGCACCGGGAGCGCAUCGCGUCGAACACCGUGCGCGCGUCGCGGAGCGAGCCGGUCUUGGCGUACAUGGACACGAGCGAGUUGCCGACCGAGAGGAACGGCUCGUGCCCGGACCGGACCGCCGCGGCGUGCACCGACCGGCCCAGCUCGAGCGCGGUCGAGCCGGCGCACGAGCUGAGCACGGCCGCGACGGCGAACUCGUCGGUGGCGACCCCAGCGGCGACCAUGUCGCGGUAGGCGCGAACGGCCAGGCCGUGGGAUCCGGCGCGGGCGAGCCCGGUGACGAGGGAGGUCCAGGUGACCACGUCCCGGCGCGGCAUUUCGUCGAACACCGCCCGCGCGGCUCCGAGGCGGGACAGCUUGGCGUAGGCGUCGACGAGGGCGUUGGCGACAUGGAGGUGCGACGCGAGCCCCGCGCGGAGGAGGAGCGCGUGGAGCGCCGCCGCGGGCGGGGCGCGGAGCAGCGCGGCGGAGUUGAGGAUCGGCGGGAGGGUGUACUCGUCGGCGCGGAGUCCCCGCGCGCGCAUCUCGGUGAACAGCGCCAGCGCCCGCCGGUGCAGCCCCGCGCGCGAGCAGCGGGAGAUGGCCGCGUUGCACGCGACCAGCCCCUUCCCGCCCGGCGACGCCAUCGCCGGCUCCGGUGCCGUCUACGCGAUUAGAGAUUAUUUA
This 1552-nucleotide long non-coding RNA is filed under the name Oryza sativa Indica Group (long-grained rice). RNAcentral's name for it is "lncRNA OsZS97_01G041890". Lineage: Eukaryota; Viridiplantae; Streptophyta; Magnoliopsida; Poales; Poaceae. The record is from RNAcentral.